UACGGGGGGGGGCAAGCGUUGUUCGGAAUUACUGGGCGUAAAGGGCUCGUAGGCGGCCAACUAAGUCAGACGUGAAAUCCCUCGGCUUAACCGGGGAACUGCGUCUGAUACUGGAUGGCUUGAGUUCGGGAGAGGGAUGCGGAAUUCCAGGUGUAGCGGUGAAAUGCGUAGAUAUCUGGAGGAACACCGGUGGCGAAGGCGGCAUCCUGGACCGGCAUUGACGCUGAGGCGCGAAAGCCAGGGGAGCAAACGGGG
RNAcentral lists this ribosomal RNA (255 nucleotides) under uncultured bacterium. Its description in RNAcentral is "partial 16S ribosomal RNA". It matches the Rfam family "Bacterial small subunit ribosomal RNA", at positions 524 to 777 of the family's 1533-position model. The record is from RNAcentral.